AGUCAUAUGCUUGUCUCAAAGACUAAGCCAUGCAUGUCUAAGUUUAAGCGAAUUAAACAGUGAGACUGCGGACGGCUCAUUAUAUCAGUUAUAGUUUAUUUGAUGGUCGAUUACUACAAGGAUAACCGUAGGAAUUCUAGAGCUAAUACUUGCACUUCAAGGAAGUUUUCUUCCUGCAUUUAUUAGAUUUCCCACCAAUGCUCUUUGAGCUUCGGUGAUUCAUAGUAACUUAGCGGAUCCACAGCCUUAGGGCGCGACGCUUCAUUCAAAUUUCUGCCCUAUCAGUUUUCGAUGGUAGUGUAUUGGACUACCAUGACUUUGACGGGUAACGGAGAAUUAGGGUUCGAUUCCGGAGAGGGAGCCUGAGAAACGGCUACCACAUCUAAGGAAGGCAGCAGGCGCGCAAAUUACCCAAUCCCAACUCGGGGAGGUAGUGACAAGAAAUAACAACAACUAACCUAUCACAGGUGAGUUGAUUGGAAUGAGUACAAUCUAAACACCUUAACGACUAUCCAU
This 516-nucleotide ribosomal RNA is filed under the name uncultured eukaryote. Its description in RNAcentral is "SSU rRNA". It matches the Rfam family "Eukaryotic small subunit ribosomal RNA", at positions 22 to 548 of the family's 1831-position model. The record is from RNAcentral.